GAUGAACGCUGGCGGCGUGCUUAACACAUGCAAGUCGAACGAAUAACCCAUCUUCGGAUGGUUAUAGAGUGGCGAACGGGUGAGUAACACGUGACCAACCUGCCUAUCACUUUGGGAUAACACGGAGAAAUCCGUGCUAAUACCAAAUAUUCCGGUUACCCUGCAUGGGGUUUCCGGGAAAGCUCCGGCGGUGAUAGAUGGGGUCGCGGCCUAUUAGAUAGUUGGUGAGGUAAUGGCUCACCAAGUCUGCGAUAGGUAGCCGGGUUGAGAGACUGAUCGGCCACAUUGGGACUGAGAUACGGCCCAGACUCCUACGGGAGGCAGCAGUGGGGAAUUUUGCGCAAUGGGGGAAACCCUGACGCAGCAACGCCGCGUGCGGGAUGACGGCCUUCGGGUUGUAAACCGCUUUCAGCAGGGAAGAAAUUGACUGUACCUGCAGAAGAAGCUCCGGCUAACUACGUG
Molecule: ribosomal RNA, 462 nt
Filed under: uncultured organism
Description: bacterial SSU rRNA
Rfam family: Bacterial small subunit ribosomal RNA
Source: RNAcentral